UGGGGCAGACCUCUGUUGAGCAUGAAGGG
This 29-nucleotide non-coding RNA is filed under the name Rattus norvegicus (Norway rat). The record is from RNAcentral. Lineage: Eukaryota; Metazoa; Chordata; Mammalia; Rodentia; Muridae.